This 563-nucleotide long non-coding RNA is filed under the name Piliocolobus tephrosceles (Ugandan red Colobus). RNAcentral describes it as "lncRNA (ENSPTEG00000019371.1)". Lineage: Eukaryota; Metazoa; Chordata; Mammalia; Primates; Cercopithecidae. The record is from RNAcentral.
AUAUUUAUUUAUUUUUUUUUGCACAUUCAGUUGCAUAUUACAUUUUAACUUUAAUUUUAACUUUAAUUUUAAUUUUAAUUUUAAUUUUAAUUUUUUUUUUUUUUUUAUAGUUAUACUUAGAAAACGAAGAAAUUUUAAAAGGAUCGUUGAUGAAAAAUAAAAAAAUAGAACAGUUAGAACAAAACGAAAAUUUUAAUCAUAACAUCUUUUGUGAUAUAUUAAACAACCUUACAGCUAGCUAUGAUAAUGCCGAUAUUAUAGAUAAAUCCUUUUGCGAAUGUAUAAAUUUUUUGUUAAACAUUUUAAAUAUUCAACAUCCGGACGUUCUUACAAGUUUAAAAGACGCAUACUCUAGAACAAAACAUAUAAAAAGACUUGACGUUUGUAACCAAAUUAUUAACAUUUUAACAUAAAACCGUUUUUUUGCUUUAACUAAGAAUUUUUUUUUUUUUUUACUUUAAUUUUAAAUACAAUAUGAGUAAAAAAAAAAGUAUUUUAUUUUAUACUUUUUGUCCUAUACAAUUUAUACACAUUUUUAUAAUAAAUAAUUUUUUUUUUCACCA